GAUGAAGAACGCAGCGAAAUGCGAUACGUAAUGUGAAUUGCAAAUUCAGUGAAUCAUCGAGUCUUUGAACGCACAUUGCGCCCCCUGGUAUUCCGGGGGGCAUGCCUGUCCGAGCGUCAUUGCUGCCCUCAAGCACGGCUUGUGUGUUGGGCCCCGUCCUCCGAUCCCGGGGGACGGGCCCGAAAGGCAGCGGCGGCACCGCGUCCGGUCCUCGAGCGUAUGGGGCUUUGUCACCCGCUCUGUAGGCCCGGCCGGCGCUUGCCGAUCAACCCAAAUUUUUCUCCAGGUUGACCUCGGAUCAGGUAGGGAUACCCGCUGAACUUAAGCAUAUCAAUAAGCGGAGGA
Molecule: unclassified non-coding RNA, 345 nt
Filed under: soil metagenome
Description: partial contains 5.8S ribosomal RNA, internal transcribed spacer 2, and large subunit ribosomal RNA
Rfam family: 5.8S ribosomal RNA (bases 1-119)
Source: RNAcentral